UGAUCCUAUGUCGGAUUACCUAGUUGGUGAGGUAAUGGCUCACCAAGGCGACCAUCCGUAACUGGUCUGAGAGGAUGAACAUUCACACUGGAACUGACACACGGUCCAUACUCCUACGGGAGGAAUCCGUGGGGAAUAUUGGACAAUGGACCAAAGCCUGAUCCAGCCAUGCCGCGUGAGUGAAGAAGGUCUUCUGAUUGUAAAUCACUUUACGUUGGGAUGAAGGGCAUUAACCUAAUACGUUCUUGUUUUGAACGUUACCGACCUAAUAAGGCACCGGGCUAACUUCGUGGCCAGCAACCUCGGUGAAUACCAACGGUGGCAAGCGGUUAAUCUGGAAUUACUGGGUCGUAAAGCUCGCGUACGUGGUUCGUUAACUUGGAUGUGAAAG
This 391-nucleotide ribosomal RNA is filed under the name Pseudomonas fluorescens. RNAcentral describes it as "bacterial SSU rRNA". It matches the Rfam family "Bacterial small subunit ribosomal RNA", at positions 226 to 600 of the family's 1533-position model. The record is from RNAcentral. Lineage: Bacteria; Pseudomonadati; Pseudomonadota; Gammaproteobacteria; Pseudomonadales; Pseudomonadaceae.